UGUAACACAAUUACACAUGUUUCAUUGGUGAGACAAACCUUCACCAUAGCUUUGAAGUUUAUGUAGAAAUCAGAAUGCACCAUGGAGAUCUAAUCCACAGUCGCAUCCUCAACACUCUUCCCUCUCGAUGGACUGGGAGCUGGGUGCAGCCAGCUGUCAGGCCAGGAGCUGUGCAGCAGCGGCCGAGCGCUUUGGAGUGGUCUCCAUUUCUGGACAAAUCAUUUUCCCUUUUAAUGUUUGGUUUCUCUACCAGGAGUGAGUGUCAGAGGUGGCAAGUCACAGCACACCUGACAUUAGACUGUAUUGUUUUCAUAGCGAGGGUUCAUUGUGACCAUCAGGAAGGCUGGGGAAGAGCUGGUCCACAGGUUCAAUGACAGUAGCACUCGUCCGCGCUUCAAGACCCACUCUGUCGCAUUUUGUCCAGCGAAGUUUCUAGACAACGGCCUCACGGCUUUGGUCUUUUGCCCAGAACUGGGUGACACACCACCCUUAGCUCCCAGGGAGGCUGGAGACAGAGAAGCAGCUGGCAACGUUGGCUUAGGUCACUUGUGGUCCACCACUUGGAGCUGGGCCCAUGGCUGCUCUGCACCAAAGUGGGUUCUUCCAGCAAGGGAGGAAUGGGCCUCCAGUACGCAGCAAAGGGCGCAAGAAAUGCCACAGUCCUGAGUCCACAGAGAAGUCUGGGGUGAGUUUGUCACAAUCAGGCAGCUGGGAUUUCAACCUCUCCUGGAAGUUCAAGGAGGAAUGUUUAUGUUGAUAUAUGCAGUGCUGGGGUUCAAAGCCAGGAGCUCACGCUUGCUAGGCUAGAGUUCUACCACUGAGCCACAUCCUUAGCUGGUGACCUUUUUGGAUACAAAUAAGAAUCAUAGCAAGAUGAAAACCAGAGCAGAGUUCACAUCUCAGCUGAUGCUGGUUCCACACUGAAUCCACAGUCUUCUUGCAGCUGAUGUUUGAUCCUCUGUGAAUCCAGCCCCUAUAACUUGAUCAGAUUGUUCCUGAUCUCUAUGGUGGGGCCCAAGGGCUGUGGCUGAUGACCUGUCCCAUCUACUAGACCACCAACAAGCACUUGACCUUCAUAUCUGAGCUCCUCCUGCCGUCUAGCAUCUUGCUUCCCUUGACUCCCCUGCACUUCCUUCACAUUCUUUGCCUCCUAAGUGAUAUGGACAGCUCUGUUCAGUUGUCCCCCUCAAUGUCCCUCUGGAGAGGGCUGCCUAGCAGGAGCACAAUGGGAGCCUCAACUGGAAAUCAGCCUGCAACUGGAAAUUGAUUAGUAGACAUUUUAAAAAAUGGUAAAUGUGCAACAAUUUAUUAAAUGCUAUAGUUUAGUUAACCUGAUAGGUUGAAAAUGUCAUUUUAACAUGUGAUCAGCAAAAAAACUUUCAUACUAAGUCUUGGAAAUCUGUUGUGUUCCUUGCACUCCACACAUCGUGAUGUGACUUAGCCACGGCUUCAGUGAUUGCAAACUGCAUGUGGCUAGUGGCUACUACACAAACUGUGCAAUUCUGGAGGACAGACACCAGCUUUAGGAACUGCAGAGCAGACCCUUAACAUAUACCUACUGAAUGAAUACAAACAGCCACUCUGCCAGGAGCAGGUCUUUCUUAAACAGAGGGUGCAGGGUCGACCAGAGAGCUCUGGAGCAGUGUGUGUGGUGAUCAAGAACUUGAACCUGCAUUCUCAGCCCUUGGGUGUGGCUACAUCAGGAGUUGACCCAGAUCCAGUCACUCAGCCUCUUUGUGUCUCUGUUUCCUCAUCUGUAAAGAGAGACAGCAGUGUCUGUCUGCAAGAUGCUGAGCAGAUUAAGUGACCAGUGUAGACAAAAUGCCAACUGCCUGGCACAGGGUGGGCGUGUAAGAAGCCAUGGCUGUGGUGAUUUUAAGCUAGACAUUCUGUGAGUCAUAGGGAGACUUGGUUUUAGCGGUAACAGUAUAGUUUGGUGAGGGCAGCGCUGGUCCUCAUGAUUGCUGUGUCCUAUUAACAGGACUCUUGCAGGAUUCUACCUGCUUGGGAACUGUCCUGGGGACCUCAAAGGAAUUUGUGGUGUUUCUGCUUUGGGCUAUGGCUGGGAAAAAGAGUGCCCAGACCCAACUCAGAGAAGAUGGGAGGAAGGAUGGAGUCGGCGCAUUGUCCUGGGGCCCUGAAGAGCAGAGUCCCGGGCGAGUCCCACCAGAAAGCUCUGCAGGGCUCGAGGUUGGAAGGAGUCUCACGUGCAGGUUCAGUUCACGUCCUGCUGGAUGACAGUGGCUGGGUGGCCCCUGGUGGACUGUGGGCUCUGUGUCACUCUCUCUCUCUGUGUCACUGAUGGAGGCACCAUAGGUGUGGGAUUUUCUAUGUUAGCCUGCAAGUCCACUUGCUGGGGACAGCAGCCCUCACAACUAGUACGUUCUGCUCUUGCCAAACACCGUUGUCCAGAUUUCUAUGCAACUUCGUUUCUUUACACAGAAAAUAAAAACCCAGAGAAGCA
Long non-coding RNA from Marmota monax (woodchuck), 2464 nucleotides. RefSeq lists it as uncharacterized. The transcript is spliced from 2 exons. The record is from RefSeq and is a predicted model, not a curated record. Lineage: Eukaryota; Metazoa; Chordata; Mammalia; Rodentia; Sciuridae.